GACACGACUCUCGGCAACGGAUAUCUCGGCUCUCGCAUCGAUGAAGAACGUAGCGAAAUGCGAUACCUGGUGUGAAUUGCAGAAUCCCGCGAACCAUCGAGUCUUUGAACGCAAGUUGCGCCCGAGGCCACCCGGUCGAGGGCACGCCUGCCUGGGCGCCACGC
RNAcentral lists this ribosomal RNA (164 nucleotides) under Brachypodium sylvaticum. RNAcentral's name for it is "5.8S ribosomal RNA". It matches the Rfam family "5.8S ribosomal RNA". From Rfam's summary of the family: 5.8S ribosomal RNA (5.8S rRNA) is a component of the large subunit of the eukaryotic ribosome. It is transcribed by RNA polymerase I as part of the 45S precursor that also contains 18S and 28S rRNA. The record is from RNAcentral. Lineage: Eukaryota; Viridiplantae; Streptophyta; Magnoliopsida; Poales; Poaceae.